Mustela lutreola (European mink) is the source of this 1194-nucleotide long non-coding RNA. RefSeq lists it as uncharacterized. The record is from RefSeq and is a predicted model, not a curated record. The transcript is spliced from 3 exons. NCBI's taxonomy places the organism in Eukaryota, Metazoa, Chordata, Mammalia, Carnivora, Mustelidae.
CUCUCUUUGGGUUCAAACCUCAGGCAACCUUCAAAGCCAACUGAAAGGCAGAGAGAGCUCAGUAAAUUACUCAUGCCCUCACUGACCUUCAUCAUCUCUGAAUCCCUAUAUCAUUAGGAGCGAGGAAUUCUGAACUUAUAACGUUGAUUCUCCUCUAAUCCACUAUAAUACCACCUGGUAAUUGUAUAGAGCUUGCACGUACUAUUGCAUUUGGUCCUUACAACCUGGCAAAAUAAAGCAGACCAUUUGUUGAAAUCCCCGUUUUGCGGACUUCUGAGAAGUAGAGUCUCAGAAACCCAUACAGAAUCAUGUAGCUAAGUAGAACGGUUCAGGCCGAGACCCAACAGACUUUCUGCCGCACCAGAAAGGAGACUUCUUCUCCAGAAGAACCGCAACAUCCUUGGAGAGGUAAAAGAAACAUAAGAUACAGCAUCUACUAUCUAUAGACACUGGCAUGGGGCUUUUUCAAAAACAAUGAGGGUGCACUGGUUUAUAGAGGAGGUGAAACUGCCCCAGGAAAUUUUAACGUGUUUGCCGAGUGGUCUGGGAAAAUUCAGAGGGAGCUGACCUGUCCAACUUGUGUCGAACCCUGCUCUGUAAAGACAGUCAUACAGGACAUUACUAACCCCCAGGAGUGCUUCCGGGACCCCUGAGGAACUAGUGGCAUCAUGGAGCAAGACCCCAUCUGCUGAAGCACCCAAAAAAGUAAAUCGAAAGCAAAAUGUGGGCACCACGGACAUUACUAAUCCCCAGAAGUGCUUCCAGGGCCCCUGAGGGGUAGUGGCUUCGUGGAGCCUGACCCCAUCUGCUGAGGGUCUUUAGCGGAAGAGAGAGUUUCAUUUGCCUGGUUGGCUUACCGUGAAUCUGGAGGAGAGGCAGGGAAGCAACCAGUCGUCUGUCUCCUAAAGAUCUCUUCCAAUUCUACGUCGAUAAGAUCAUGUAUUUCUUCACUGUUGGACUCUUGGAAUGAUGUCCAAGACAACCUACCCACUAAUGCUUAUUUUCUCCAAUUUGUCUACAGACUACAAUUAUUUCAAUCACAGUUGUUAUCAGACUGGAAUUAGUGUUCAUAUUUGCCAGCAACUUUUAUGUAAUAAAUCAGAGUUAAGCUACUACAUGAAACAGAGUCUUGCCAAAUGAGUGCUGCUUUGGUUCUCACUGAACUGUCUGAGAACCCAUGACCAACUGCUUCUU